RNAcentral lists this ribosomal RNA (497 nucleotides) under uncultured bacterium. RNAcentral describes it as "partial 16S ribosomal RNA". It matches the Rfam family "Bacterial small subunit ribosomal RNA", at positions 28 to 507 of the family's 1533-position model. The record is from RNAcentral.
GAUGAACGCUGGCGGCGUGCCUAAUACAUGCAAGUCGAGCGAACGGACGAGGAGCUUGCUUCUCUGAUGUUAGCGGCGGACGGGUGAGUAACACGUGGAUAACCUACCUAUAAGACUGGGAUAACUUCGGGAAACCGGAGCUAAUAACGGAUAAUAUAUUGAACCGCAGGGUUCAAAAGUGAAAGACGGUCUUGCUGUCACUUAUAGAUGGAUCCGCGCUGCAGUAGCUAGGUGGUAAGGUAACGGCUUACCAAGGCAACGAUGCAUAGCCGACCUGAGAGGGUGAUCGGCCACACUGGAACUGAGGCACGGUCCCGACUCCUACGGGAGGCAGCCGUAGGGAAUCUUCCGCGAUGGGCGAAAGCCUUACGUAGCAACGCCGCGUGAGUGAUGAAGGUCUUCCGAUCGUAAAACUCUGUUAUUAGGGAAGAACAUAUGUUUAAUUAACUUUUCACAUCUUGACGGUACCUUCUCAGAAAGCCACGGCUAACUUCGUG